Molecule: long non-coding RNA, 348 nt
Organism: Mesocricetus auratus (golden hamster)
Lineage: Eukaryota; Metazoa; Chordata; Mammalia; Rodentia; Cricetidae
Exons: 3
Source: RefSeq, a predicted model, not a curated record
CUGGCUAUUCCCCUGUAAUUCUCCCAUUAGUGCCAUAAGUUGUUGUACUUCCUUCUCUGAGGGACUACCCAGCUCAGGAUCCUGGGUCACAAAUGAGACUGGGACUAUUCGGUAAAUCAUCUACCACAGUUGGAACCUACAGUUUCAAAUUGCAGAGUGAUGAGAGCAGAGUUCUGGAUUGAUAUCUAAUCUAUAACUCAAGUUCCGGAGGAUCUGAAACUCUCCUUUGGAUUCCAUGGGCACCUGGACCACACAUGAUACAUGCAUGAAGGCAGAGAAAAUGUUCAUAAAAUGAAACAAAUCUACAGCGACUGAUGGAAGCAGAGACAGACACUCCUAAAACUGAAC